This 1308-nucleotide long non-coding RNA is filed under the name Heterocephalus glaber (naked mole-rat). RNAcentral describes it as "lncRNA (ENSHGLG00100050122.1)". The record is from RNAcentral. Lineage: Eukaryota; Metazoa; Chordata; Mammalia; Rodentia; Bathyergidae.
CCAUCAUGUAAUCUGUUUUAAUUGCCAUGUCAAAGAUUAUUUUAUGCUCAGUGAUAUAAUAAUGUUAGAACUAUAGGAAAUAAUAAUCAAAUAUAUAUUUUUGUCUUUGUAAAUUCAUGAUGUCCUUUACCAUAUACCACUCACUGCUGGCAAUGAGAUGUAGGCCAUUCAUGGCUUUUAAUGUUAUGUUUUAUUAGUUACCAGCACUUUUUAUUUAGGUGGCAGAAAACUGGUUUUGUGGUUAAGAUGGGGUUUGUUCUUUAGUAUAUUUUGUUUAUUGCUGUGCUUUAAAUAUAGUACCGACUAAGCCCAAAAUAUUUCACUAUUUCAAAAUGGGUAUUAAAACUGUUGCUCUUGCAUAUUCCACAGCAAGCACCUGAACGUCCCUUCUUCCUGUACCUGUGUUACAGCUUCCUGCCUCUGCCCUGCGGUUCUGCUGACUUCUUUCAGAUUGUUAGAAAAGCUGGUCUGAGUUGCUAAAUAAUGGACUUGUAGUAGCCCAUGUUUUCAAAAAUCUAUGGGUUAAACAGUUAUUUUAAAGCAGUUGAUAAUUUUUAAAGGAAUAUGUACUGAUUCUUUCAUUGCAAAGCAGUAGUAUUGAGGGGUUGGCUUGAGGCUAUGUUUUGAGACAGGAUCUUGGUUUGUAGUUCUGGCUGGCUUCGAACUCACUAUGUAGCCCAGGCUGGCUUCAAUUCAUGGCAGUCCUCCUGCCUCAGCCUCUUGAGUGCUGGGGUUACAGGUGUGUGCCACGCAUUCAAAAAAGCAUUUUAGACUUUGAUGUCUCCCACAUCAAUGUUAAAGCAAACCUGUUACUGUUAGAUAGUUCUUUGCUCUGAUUAACAGUGAGUUCUUUUGGUAUGACUAUCUGUUGAUUUUUAAAACACAAAUAUGGAGAGUUUAUUGUACUCAGUACAUUUUUUAUAAAGAUUUUUGCAGUGGAAGAGAAGCUGAAAUUUUUGGGAGAGUGUAGAUUUUACCAAUGACUACUUUAUAGUUGUUUUUUAGAAAAGUGUCAACAUUUUUUUAAAGUAUCAACUUAGUCUUUAACAGCUUAUUGAGUAAAAUUUCUUUCCCAGUUUAAAUCAUGAUUUUUGUCAAGAGCUUUAUUUAUAAUUCUCAGCUGGAGAAAACUACACUUAGUGUAAAACACUCACAUGAAAAAGUCAGGGUCGUACCUUUAUAAACCCCUGGUUGUAAACCAAGGAUUCAGAAAAUCCCUUAAAUGUACUAAUGGCUAAUUAAGAUGUUUCAGGUAUUUUUUUCCUGAUUAAAUUUGUAGUUAUAUUUGGAAGUGUUUAAAAAACCAUA